UGCAUGGUUGUCGUCAGCUCGUGUCGUGAGAUGUUGGGUUAAGUCCCGCAACGAGCGCAACCCCUAUUGCUAGUUACCAUCAUUAAGUUGGGGACUCUAGCGAGACUGCCAGUGAUAAACUGGAGGAAGGUGGGGAUGACGUCAAAUCAUCAUGCCCCUUAUGACCUGGGCUACAAACGUGAUACAAUGGCUGGAACAAAGGGAUGCGAAGCAGUGAUGUGGAGCGAAACCCAUAAAAACAGUCUCAGUUCGGAUUGAAGUCUGCAACUCGACUUCAUGAAGUCGGAAUCGCUAGUAAUCCGCGGAUCAGAACGACCGCGGUGAAUACGUUCUCGGGGUUU
This 341-nucleotide ribosomal RNA is filed under the name uncultured Acholeplasma sp. RNAcentral's name for it is "bacterial SSU rRNA". It matches the Rfam family "Bacterial small subunit ribosomal RNA", at positions 1042 to 1382 of the family's 1533-position model. Lineage: Bacteria; Bacillati; Mycoplasmatota; Mollicutes; Acholeplasmatales; Acholeplasmataceae. The record is from RNAcentral.